CGGCGUGCCUAAUACAUGCAAGUAGAACGCUGAAGAGAGGAGCUUGCUCUUCUUGGAUGAGUUGCGAACGGGUGAGUAACGCGUAGGUAACCUGCCUUGUAGCGGGGGAUAACUAUUGGAAACGAUAGCUAAUACCGCAUAACAAUGGAUGACACAUGUCAUUUAUUUGAAAGGGGCAAUUGCUCCACUACAAGAUGGACCUGCGUUGUAUUAGCUAGUAGGUGAGGUAACGGCUCACCUAGGCGACGAUACAUAGCCGACCUGAGAGGGUGAUCGGCCACACUGGGACUGAGACACGGCCCAGACUCCUACGGGAGGCAGCAGUAGGGAAUCUUCGGCAAUGGGGGCAACCCUGACCGAGCAACGCCGCGUGAGUGAAGAAGGUUUUCGGAUCGUAAAGCUCUGUUGUAAGUCAAGAACGAGUGUGAGAGUGGAAAGUUCACACUGUGACGGUAGCUUACCAGAAAGGGACGGCUAACUACGUGCCAGCAGCCGCGGUAAUACGUAGGUCCCGAGCGUUGUCCGGAUUUAUUGGGCGUAAAGCGAGCGCAGGCGGUUUGAUAAGUCUGAAGUUAAAGGCUGUGGCUCAACCAUAGUUCGCUUUGGAAACUGUCAAACUUGAGUGCAGAAGGGGAGAGUGGAAUUCCAUGUGUAGCGGUGAAAUGCGUAGAUAUAUGGAGGAACACCGGUGGCGAAAGCGGCUCUCUGGUCUGUAACUGACGCUGAGGCUCGAAAGCGUGGGGAGCGAACAGGAUUAGACACCCCUGGUAGUCCACGCCGUAAACGAUGAGUGCUAGGUGUUGGAUCCUUUCCGGGAUUCAGUGCCGCAGCUAACGCAUUAAGCACUCCGCCUGGGGAGUACGACCGCAAGGUUGAAACUCAAAGGAAUUGACGGGGGCCCGCACAAGCGGUGGAGCAUGUGGUUUAAUUCGAAGCAACGCGAAGAACCUUACCAGGUCUUGACAUCCCGAUGCUAUUUCUAGAGAUAGAAAGUUACUUCGGUACAUCGGUGACAGGUGGUGCAUGGUUGUCGUCAGCUCGUGUCGUGAGAUGUUGGGUUAAGUCCCGCAACGAGCGCAACCCCUAUUGUUAGUUGCCAUCAUUCAGUUGGGCACUCUAGCGAGACUGCCGGUAAUAAACCGGAGGAAGGUGGGGAUGACGUCAAAUCAUCAUGCCCCUUAUGACCUGGGCUACACACGUGCUACAAUGGUUGGUACAACGAGUUGCGAGUCGGUGACGGCAAGCUAAUCUCUUAAAGCCAAUCUCAGUUCGGAUUGUAGGCUGCAACUCGCCUACAUGAAGUCGGAAUCGCUAGUAAUCGCGGAUCAGCACGCCGCGGUGAAUACGUUCCCGGGCCUUGUACACACCGCCCGUCACACCACGAGAGUUUGUAACACCCGAAGUCGGUGAGGUAACCAUGGGAGCCAGCCGCCUAAGGUGGGAU
RNAcentral lists this ribosomal RNA (1444 nucleotides) under uncultured organism. RNAcentral's name for it is "16S ribosomal RNA". It matches the Rfam family "Bacterial small subunit ribosomal RNA". The record is from RNAcentral.